UAUGAAGGCCAGGCUGAAGACUUUGCCGGAUUAGCUGAGAGGUGGUGGCAUGGCCGUCGUCAGUUCGUACUGUGAAGCAUCCUGUUAAGUCAGGCAACGAGCGAGACCCACGCCCACAGUUGCCAGCGUACUCUCUGGAGUGACGGGUACACUGUGGGGACCGCCGCUGCUAAAGCGGAGGAAGGAAUGGGCAACGGUAGGUCAGUAUGCCCCGAAUAUCCCGGGCUACACGCGAGCUACAAUGGUUGGUACAAUGGGUAUCUACCCCGAAAGGGGACGGGAAUCUCCUAAAACCAAUCUUAGUUCGGAUUGAGGGCUGCAACUCGCCCUCAUGAAGCUGGAAUCCGUAGUAAUCGCGUUUCAACAGAACGCGGUGAAUACGUCCCUGCUCCUU
RNAcentral lists this ribosomal RNA (394 nucleotides) under uncultured Methanosaeta sp. RNAcentral describes it as "bacterial SSU rRNA". It matches the Rfam family "Archaeal small subunit ribosomal RNA", at positions 946 to 1338 of the family's 1478-position model. The record is from RNAcentral. Lineage: Archaea; Methanobacteriati; Methanobacteriota; Methanomicrobia; Methanotrichales; Methanotrichaceae.